UGAAAUGUGGCUCAGUGGUAGAGCCCUUGUCUAGCAUGUACAAGGACCUGGGUUUGAUCACUAGCAUCGCAA
This 72-nucleotide transfer RNA is filed under the name Marmota monax (woodchuck). RNAcentral describes it as "tRNA.Ala". Lineage: Eukaryota; Metazoa; Chordata; Mammalia; Rodentia; Sciuridae. The record is from RNAcentral.